RNAcentral lists this ribosomal RNA (293 nucleotides) under uncultured eukaryote. RNAcentral's name for it is "partial 18S ribosomal RNA". It matches the Rfam family "Eukaryotic small subunit ribosomal RNA", at positions 6 to 331 of the family's 1831-position model. The record is from RNAcentral.
GGUUGAUCCUGCCAGUGGUCAUAUGCUGUUUCAGAAGAUUAAGCCAUGCAAGUGUAAGUUCAUUCCCUUUCAGGGUUGAAACUGCGAAUAGCUCAGUAAACUCUCUGCAAAUGUCGCACAUCAUAAUGUCGCAUAUUUGCGGAAAAACUGCAAUCAAAACGGGGGUCGAAUUUGACCUAUAGAAUUGAGCGUGCCCAGGGCUUUUGUUGGGCAUACGGGGACGAACACGUGAAUACUAUGAAUCGAAUUUUGAGAGUGUGCGAGUGCUUAGGACUUAUCAGCUUUGAUGGUAU